Arabidopsis thaliana (thale cress) is the source of this 107-nucleotide small nucleolar RNA. It matches the Rfam family "Plant small nucleolar RNA R71". Rfam says of the family: R71 is a member of the C/D box family of snoRNAs containing the C (UGAUGA) and D (CUGA) box motifs. Multiple nearly identical copies of this snoRNA have been identified in Arabidopsis, and it is thought to function as a 2'-O-ribose methylation guide for 18S ribosomal RNA. Lineage: Eukaryota; Viridiplantae; Streptophyta; Magnoliopsida; Brassicales; Brassicaceae. The record is from Rfam.
AAGCCAUGAUGUGGGCAGUCCCGUUGAUACUCCUUGAAUCUAACCCAUGCGGCUUUGAAGUCCUCAACUGGACCUUGUGUGAAGGUAGACAACUUGUUUCUCAGCUU